CUCAUCUGUAAAAUGGGAAUAAUAAGAGCACCUAUCUCCCAGGGUAGCCAUAAGGCUAAAAUGAGAUAAUAUUUGUAAAGAAUUUCCCAAAAUAACAAAAUGCUAUUGUUUGCUAUUAUUUCUAGGAGCAAAAUUCACAUUUAUGAGAUCACAGAUCAUUUUGAGUAUUUUAGAAUCCUAAAGAACUUUGAGGACAUAUGAUCUAGUGACAAGAACAAGAUGUGAAAUCAGAAGAACUUCAGUUUGAGUCCCUCCUCUUCCAUUUCCUUGAUGCAUGACAGUGGAUGAGGAAACUAAGGCCAACCGAAGUAAGUGUCUUGUCCAAGUUCUACAGUUGAUGGCAGAGCCAAGACUUAAAAGUCCAAUCUCUUGGGUACCAGGCCUGUGUGCUCUCUGCCAGACUGUGCAAAACAAGACAGCAUAGACUCAAAUGCUUCUUUGUGUUCAUUCAGACUUCAAGUCCUAUAGGAAGUAGGUCUGAG
RNAcentral lists this long non-coding RNA (482 nucleotides) under Monodelphis domestica (gray short-tailed opossum). RNAcentral's name for it is "lncRNA (ENSMODG00000036984.1)". Lineage: Eukaryota; Metazoa; Chordata; Mammalia; Didelphimorphia; Didelphidae. The record is from RNAcentral.